This 80-nucleotide microRNA precursor is filed under the name Choloepus hoffmanni (Hoffmann's two-fingered sloth). Its description in RNAcentral is "miRNA (ENSCHOG00000015031.1)". The record is from RNAcentral. Lineage: Eukaryota; Metazoa; Chordata; Mammalia; Pilosa; Megalonychidae.
GUGGAAUUCAUGCACAUGUUUGCAUAUGCAUGUAUGCACACAUACACACACACACAGACACAAAAAUGUGCAUGCACACA